AACGAACGCUGGCGGCGUGGAUAAGGCAUGCAAGUCGAGCGCGAAAGUUUCCUUCGGGGGAUGAGUAGAGCGGCUAACGGGUGAGUAACACGUGAGUAACUUGCCUCUGGGUGGGGGACAACACCGGGAAACCGGUGCUAAUACCGCAUGAAGUUGCUGGUUCGCAUGGACUGGUAACCAAAGGGGGGGAUCUUCGGACCUCCCGCCUGGAGAGAGGCUCGCGCCUGAUUAGUUAGUUGGUGAGGUAACGGCUCACCAAGACGAUGAUCAGUAGCCGGUCUGAGAGGAUGGCUGGCCACACUGGGAUUGAGAUACGGCCCAGACUCCUACGGGAGGCAGCAGUCUAGAAGCUUCGGCAAUGGGCGAAAGCCUGACCGAGCGACGCCGCGUGCAGGACGAAGGUCUUCGGGUUGUAACUGCUUUCGACAGGGAUGAACGGUAGGGUGUGAAUAGCGUUCCUAUUUGACAGUACCUGGAGAGAAGCCCCGGCUAACUCCGUGCCAGC
RNAcentral lists this ribosomal RNA (505 nucleotides) under uncultured bacterium. RNAcentral's name for it is "bacterial SSU rRNA". It matches the Rfam family "Bacterial small subunit ribosomal RNA", at positions 29 to 512 of the family's 1533-position model. The record is from RNAcentral.